Molecule: long non-coding RNA, 1689 nt
Organism: Rhinopithecus roxellana (golden snub-nosed monkey)
Lineage: Eukaryota; Metazoa; Chordata; Mammalia; Primates; Cercopithecidae
Exons: 2
Source: RefSeq, a predicted model, not a curated record
CCUCCCGGGUUCAAGCAAUUCUCCUGCCUCAGCCUCCUGAGUAGCUGGGAUUACAGGUGCCCGCCACCACGCCUGGCUAAUUUGAUGGAAUACAUUUGUGCCGUUGUGCAACCUUCACCACCUCCCAUCUCCAGAACUCUCUCCAUCCUGCAAAACUGAAACUCGGCCCCGGGUGCCCCUCCCCCUCCCUGCCCCUGGCAUCCACACUCUACUUUCUGUCUAUGAUCUUCACUGGAAGUAGGUAUGUACUUUGUCCACAUUUUAAAGUGCAGAGCCUGGGACCCAGUGAGAUGAAGUCCCUUGCUUGUGGUCACUUGAUAGAAGACGACAAAGCCGGGCAUCCCACCCAAGGUCUGUGUCCACAGCCCCCGCUUUGGUGGCUACUACACUGUGGCUUCUUUCAGUUGAGUGCAGAGGAGGAAGGGGGAUUAUACUGCACAACCUCAGUGGUGAGAGGAGAUGAAUGGAUGGAAACUAAACGUAAGGAAAGUAAGGAAUGGGUGAGCCUCUGGGAAGGGUGGCAAGUUCCCAGACAUUCGAAGAAUCGAGGUCCUGAAAGGAUGAGCCAGCAGGGACAAGGCAAAGGGGACCCUGCCACAGCUGAGUGAUGGCCUAGAUGCUCGUUCCGGGUGCUGUCCAUUCUGGGACUCUAGCGAAACGGUUUUUCUGUCUAUUCAGAGUCUGCCAUUCAUUGGACUAUAAUGCCCCAUUUCAUCUAAUUGAUGACCCAAAUAGCUUCAAGUAGCUCUCUGCGGGUGGCCAGCCACUGUGGAGGGUGUCCAGUUACAGGAGCAGAGCACACUGGAUGCCUUUUCUCUUCCACAGUGGGCACUGUACGGUGGGUCCCCCCUCGUCAGGAUUAAUGAGAGCUUUGGUCGCAGGGCCCCCGCCUGUUGCCACGUGACAGUCUCAUAAGCUCACCCGGGGGAGAGGGGAGAAGCCUGUCAGGCCACUGAAGUGGGCAGUAGAACCCAGGAGAGGAAGAAAUAAAGGAGAGAGGGGGAGGGGGAGCAGAGACAGGGCCAUUGAAAGUGUUUUCCAACAAUGGACUUGGAUUGGCUUCCCCUGCCCCUGUGGCAGGGAGCUCGCUGUGCCUGUGCGGCUACAGUACUGACGAAGAAUUCAUCCCUGUCCAAGGAGAGUGAAGUGGGUUCCAUGAGGUAAGACCUGCUGGCACUCAGGGAGCAUGGGGCCAGGCCUGUGUCCACGUAUCACCAGCUUACUGAGGAGUUGUGUGGCCAGGUGCGGUGCAGUUUCUCUCAGUCGCGUUCAGAGCUGAGCUACCGGGUUCUGUGUGAGAAGGGAGCCCAUCCCUGAGCCUGUGGGACAGGUCUCCAUUGGUCAGUUGGAGUGAGUGGUCUGUGCCCCUCCUCGCCCCAUGUGUCCUGGUUUGGUCUCACCUUGGCUUCCUGGCCUUUCCAGGGCCCUGGUCUCGUCCUCACCCUAAGGCAGGCCUCUCCACCUGAGGGGCCUUCACACUGAGAUGCGUGCUGGCCUUCCCAGGACCCUCAUCUCAGUGGCUCUAAGCUGUUCACCUUCACCCUGGAUGCCUAGGAGGGCAGUGGAUGAAGAACAAAGAGGGACAACUCCCUGCUACCAGCACCAGAAAGGCCUCUGCUGACUCCCUCAAGUCCUCUUUUGCAGAUAUCUACAAAAGGCCUUGAAAGAAAACAGAACUAGAAUUAUGAA